GGCUCAGGACGAACGCUGGCGGGCGUGCUUAACACAUGCAAGUCGAACGGUAAGGCCCCUUCGGGGGUACACGAGUGGCGAACGGGUGAGUAACACGUGGGUAAUCUGCCCUGCACUUCGGGAUAAGCCUGGGAAACUGGGUCUAAUACCGGAUAUGAACUCCUGCCGCAUGGUGGGGGUUGGAAAGUUUUUCGGUGCAGGAUGAGCCCGCGGCCUAUCAGCUUGUUGGUGGGGUAAUGGCCUACCAAGGCGACGACGGGUAGCCGGCCUGAGAGGGUGAUCGGCCACACUGGGACUGAGACACGGCCCAGACUCCUACGGGAGGCAGCAGUGGGGAAUAUUGCACAAUGGGCGAAAGCCUGAUGCAGCGACGCCGCGUGGGGGAUGACGGUCUUCGGAUUGUAAACCCCUUUCAGUAGGGACGAAGCGCAAGUGACGGUACCUGCAGAAGAAGCACCGGCUAACUACGUGCCAGCAGCCGCGGUAAUACGUAGGGUGCGAGCGUUGUCCGGAAUUACUGGGCGUAAAGAGCUCGUAGGCGGUUUGUCACGUCGUCUGUGAAAUCCCUCGGCUUAACCGGGGGCGUGCAGGCGAUACGGGCAGACUUGAGUACUACAGGGGAGACUGGAAUUCCUGGUGUAGCGGUGAAAUGCGCAGAUAUCAGGAGGAACACCGGUGGCGAAGGCGGGUCUCUGGGUAGUAACUGACGCUGAGGAGCGAAAGCAUGGGUAGCGAACAGGAUUAGAUACCCUGGUAGUCCAUGCCGUAAACGGUGGGCGCUAGGUGUGGGGUCCUUCCACGGACUCCGUGCCGUAGCUAACGCAUUAAGCG
This 831-nucleotide ribosomal RNA is filed under the name Dietzia sp. RNAcentral describes it as "bacterial SSU rRNA". It matches the Rfam family "Bacterial small subunit ribosomal RNA", at positions 21 to 866 of the family's 1533-position model. Lineage: Bacteria; Bacillati; Actinomycetota; Actinomycetes; Mycobacteriales; Dietziaceae. The record is from RNAcentral.